This 299-nucleotide unclassified non-coding RNA is filed under the name uncultured fungus. Its description in RNAcentral is "partial contains 5.8S ribosomal RNA, internal transcribed spacer 2, and large subunit ribosomal RNA". The stretch from base 1 to 52 matches the Rfam family "5.8S ribosomal RNA", at positions 103 to 154 of the family's 154-position model. Lineage: Eukaryota; Fungi. The record is from RNAcentral.
AACGCACAUUGCGCCCUUUGGUAUUCCAAAGGGCAUACCUGUUUGAGCGUCAUUACAACUCUUAAAUCAAAUUUUUGAUUUAGUAUUGAGCCAUAUUUUUCGAAAGCAAUUUUGAAAAUGGUUUGAAAUUGAUAGGGCUGAAGCAAUUCCAGUAUUUGGAGGCUUUGAUUACAACGUAAUAGGUUUUACCAACUCGUUGGCUUAUCGAAGUUCUUUCUUUUGGAAUUUUCGCUUUUGCGUUAUAAAAUGACACUUUAAAGUUUGACCUCAAAUCAGGCAGGAUUACCCGCUGAACUUAA